GUCAACAUACAUAGUUCAAACACAAACAGAGAAAAGAGGAAUUGGGAACAUACAGGUUUGGAACAACAUAAAUGGAGAAAACAUUUGAUACAAGUAUAUAGAACAACUAUAAAUAUAUUUGAAAAAAUUAGUCAUAGUAACAGAUAUUUAAAACAUAGGGAAGAAUGCAGCAAUGUUAUGUUGAAGACGGGAUUCUUGUUGAACAAAAUUUGACAUACCAUUAGGUCCAAUAGAAUGCACUAGAAGACUAAGUAACUACAUGUUAUACCAGUUAAGGGAGGGGUAAGGGAACUAAGUGAGCAUGCUAGACAAGUUUCAAAGAACUAAGUAAAGUUUGAUAUAAUGAUUACACUCAAGGCAAGAAUUUAGACAUGAUCAAUAACAUCAGACAUAGAAAAAUUGAAUAACUAGUAUAGUAACAAGUAUGGAUGUAUAGGCAUAGAACACAUAAAGGUUGAGUUUCAAAUUUAAAUUAGAGACAUACCAGUUGAAGAAGUAAAGUGCAAAAAGUAAAGUAAGUAGAGUUCCACAGUCUAGCCUCGACUUUCAGCCGGCUAGACAAGCAAUUAGCACAAGUGUUAGAGAAAGAAGAGAGAGUUUAAGUGUUUGUGUGUGUAUUCUCCACUGUUGUUCGUGUUAAGACUGUAAAAGAGAGUCGUUUAUAUAGUAGUUUGAAAUCUCGUUAAAUAAGGCAAGAAUCAAUUCUUCAAUAAUUAUAGAACUCGGUAUAAAAAAUUAGUUCGAAUCUCCAUUUGAUCAAGGGAGUUAGUAUAAAUGGUAAAGAGUAAGGAAACAAAUCAUACACGGCUGAAGUAUAACAAAUAAGGAAAGAUUAAAAAAUAGUACCAGCAUAGAAUAGGUAAUUAAGGCUAGCUUUAGAAAGUUUUCAAACUAAAGAGACAAUUAGUAGCAAUGCAGACAAGGCAAGGAAAAUUAAUUAUGGUAAGCAACUAAUGAAAUUAAGUGGAAAGGUAGGGGUCGAGAUUCAAUAGCAUAGAG
RNAcentral lists this long non-coding RNA (999 nucleotides) under Nicotiana benthamiana. Its description in RNAcentral is "long non-coding RNA (NBEN_LNC018589)". Lineage: Eukaryota; Viridiplantae; Streptophyta; Magnoliopsida; Solanales; Solanaceae. The record is from RNAcentral.